CUACGGGGCGCUCCAGUGGGGAAUAUUGCACAGUGGGCGCAAGCCUGAUGCAGCCAUGCCGCGUGUAUGAAGAAGGCCUUCGGGUUGUAAAGUACUUUCAGCGGGGAGGAAGGGAGUAAAGUUAAUACCUUUGCUCAUUGACGUUACCCGCAGAAGAAGCACCGGCAACUCCGUGCCAGCAGCCGCGGUAAUACGGAGGGUGCAAGCGUUAAUCGGAAUUACUGGGCGUAAAGCGCACGCAGGCGGUUUGUUAAGUCAGAUGUGAAAUCCCCGGGCUCAACCUGGGAACUGCAUCUGAUACUGGCAAGCUUGAGUCUCGUAGAGGGGGGUAGAAUUCCAGGUGUAGCGGUGAAAUGCGUAGAGAUCUGGAGGAAUACCGGUGGCGAAGGCGGCCCCCUGGACGAAGACUGACGCUCAGGUGCGAAAGCGUGGGGAGCAAACAGGAUUAGAAACCCCCGUAGUC
RNAcentral lists this ribosomal RNA (463 nucleotides) under uncultured bacterium. Its description in RNAcentral is "partial 16S ribosomal RNA". It matches the Rfam family "Bacterial small subunit ribosomal RNA", at positions 339 to 795 of the family's 1533-position model. The record is from RNAcentral.